AUAAGGAUAGGGUUCAACGAGAUUAGUUUGAGCCGCGACUACUGGUCCAAUUCACAUCCAUCAUUUACUAUAUAUAUAUAUAUAACGCACUUACGCACAACUCUAAAUUAUUCCCAAGGCGGCAAAUACAAAUAAUUAUCUAUAAAUAAAUAUGUAACAAUAAGAGUGCUUCUAAUUUAUUUAACUGAGCAUGAAACUAUAUUUAUAAAAUGCAUGAGCAUGCCAAAUAUAUAUAAAUAAUAUUGAAAUUACAAAAUAUAAUAAAUAUUCAACUCACAGACUGAUCGACCUGAUUACAGCCGAUUCGGCUAGAAGGGAGAAGACUGGCUAGCACUGAACACCUCUACAGAUACACUGACCUCUAUCAAUUUACUAACAGAAUUAACUAAUUAAUUUAAUUUACAGAAGCAAAAAUAAGUCCUAAGGUCUUGCCGAAAUUUUGGCAGAGUCUUCCCUAUAACUUGACCUAACUCCCUGCAAGAAAACUCAAUAAAAAGCAACACAUAAAGCAUCAGGCCCACAACAACUACGUCACAUGUCUAUCCAAAGCCUAUGAGAACCUAAUCUAAGUCUAGAUUUCUAAUAUCCAGCUUGAGUCUUUAACUCCUCUACAGUUCAAUUAAAACUAUAAUCUCUAAAGCUUCUCCUAAAAUAUCAUGAUAUAAUUAUAAUCAGGUUUAUCCAUAGAAUUUCAAUUCCAUAUUAAAUUUAUAAUGAAAAUUCAACAAUAUUCCCUCUUAAAAUUAGACUAAACUCUCUAUCAUAAAACUUAAAUCCACGAUUGAACAACUAUAUCAACUUAUACAAAUUCCCAACUUAUGCAUACAUAUAAAUAUUAAUUCCAACACUUCAUAUCCAAAUAUCAAUUAAAAUAUUCCACAAUAUAUCUAUAUUACCAAAAAUCCAACUAAACAUUUAUAUUUAUUUCCCAAAAAUAUUCCACAAUCAUUUAAAAAUUUGUUAAUCACCAUAUACUCUCUCAAAAUAGUAUUACUUUCAUUAAAAAAAUAUAUUCAAUUUAACUCAAUCCUUAAUACCAAAAUUUGUAAUUUGUACAUUUAAAUUUAUAUAAAAUAUUCUAACUGUCACAUAAAUUCUAAAUUUUAGUCAUAUGUUCAAGAUAUCUAAAU
Molecule: unclassified non-coding RNA, 1130 nt
Filed under: Hevea brasiliensis (rubber tree)
Lineage: Eukaryota; Viridiplantae; Streptophyta; Magnoliopsida; Malpighiales; Euphorbiaceae
Source: RNAcentral